Molecule: ribosomal RNA, 300 nt
Filed under: uncultured Halorubrum sp.
Lineage: Archaea; Methanobacteriati; Methanobacteriota; Halobacteria; Halobacteriales; Haloferacaceae
Description: bacterial SSU rRNA
Rfam family: Bacterial small subunit ribosomal RNA
Source: RNAcentral
UGCGUAUCGUUGACAGCAGUCGCUGGAAUGAGGUGGGAGCGAGCGGUAGACGGAAUUAGUUGGCGGAAAGAUAACGGAGGCGGGUGGAUAAGGUAGAAGUGUAAGCCCAGGGAUCAACCUGGGAAUUGCAUGUAGAACUGUCCAGCGAGAGUCUUGUAGAGGGGGGUAGAAUUCCAGGUGUAGAGGUGAAAGGCGUAGAGGUCUGGAGGAAUACCGGUGGCGAAGGCGGCCCCCUGGACAAAGAAUGACGCUCAGGUGCGAAAGCGUGGGGAGCAAACAGGAUUAGAUACCCGAGUAGUC